ACGCUAGCGGCAGGCCUAAUACAUGCAAGUCGACGGGAUCCAUCGGAGAGCUUGCUCGAAGAUGGUGAGAGUGGCGCACGGGUGCGUAACGCGUGAGCAACCUACCUCUAUCAGGGGGAUAGCCUCUCGAAAAGAGAGAUUAACACCGCAUAACAUCAACAGUUCGCAUGUUCGGUUGAUUAAAUAUUUAUAGGAUAGAGAUGGGCUCGCGUGACAUUAGCUAGUUGGUAGGGUAACGGCUUACCAAGGCGACGAUGUCUAGGGGCUCUGAGAGGAGAAUCCCCCACACUGGUACUGAGACACGGACCAGACUCCUACGGGAGGCAGCAGCAAGGAAUAUUGGUCAAUGGGCGGAAGCCUGAACCAGCCAUGCCGCGUGCAGGAUGACUGCCCUAUGGGUUGUAAACUGCUUUUGUCCAGGAAUAAACCUAAAUACGUGUAUUUAGCUGAAUGUACUGGAAGAAUAAGGAUCGGCUAACUCCGUG
This 485-nucleotide ribosomal RNA is filed under the name uncultured Sphingobacterium sp. RNAcentral's name for it is "bacterial SSU rRNA". It matches the Rfam family "Bacterial small subunit ribosomal RNA", at positions 33 to 507 of the family's 1533-position model. Lineage: Bacteria; Pseudomonadati; Bacteroidota; Sphingobacteriia; Sphingobacteriales; Sphingobacteriaceae. The record is from RNAcentral.